AUUGAACGCUGGCGGCAGGCCUAACACAUGCAAGUCGAGCGGAUGAAGGGAGCUUGCUCCUGGAUUCAGCGGCGGACGGGUGAGUAAUGCCUAGGAAUCUGCCUGGUAGUGGGGGAUAACGUCCGGAAACGGGCGCUAAUACCGCAUACGUCCUGAGGGAGAAAGUGGGGGAUCUUCGGACCUCACGCUAUCAGAUGAGCCUAGGUCGGAUUAGCUAGUUGGUGGGGUAAAGGCCUACCAAGGCGACGAUCCGUAACUGGUCUGAGAGGAUGAUCAGUCAAACUGGAACUGAGACACGGCCCAGACUCUUACGGGAGGCAGAAGUGGGGAAUAUUGGACAUUGGGCGAAAGCCUGAUCCAGCCAUGCCGCGUGUGUGAAGAAGGUCUUCGGAUUGUAAAGCACUUUAAGUUGGGAGGAAGGGAAGUAAGUUAAUACCUUGCUGUUUUGACGUUACCACAAGAAUAAGCACCGGCUAACUUCGU
Molecule: ribosomal RNA, 483 nt
Filed under: uncultured bacterium
Lineage: Bacteria
Description: partial 16S ribosomal RNA
Rfam family: Bacterial small subunit ribosomal RNA
Source: RNAcentral